GUCUCAGUUUAAGGACGACCGCUUCUGUGGAGCCUUGGCUGACCUCCCUCCAACCACAGUCUCCAAAACCAAACCGAAAAUCCAGCUGUGGGCACUUUUGGAUUCUCUAGCCCUGAACUGUCACCUGGUCCCUCAGGGCCCAGACUAGGCGACAGCACACAUUGAGUGAAGGAGACUUUUUGGGGGAGGUCAGUGCAGCGAGGAAGACAGUCAUGGGGGAGUGACUGCUUCCCAGGAGACCAAGCCAGUGUGACAAAGGCCACACUCAAAAUUUACAGCCCAGGCUGCUACUCUCAGGCUGUCAAUCCACCCCGCCCACCUUCCCCGAGGUCCUCCCUUGUUUGGAUUUACAACUUCAGUUGGAAGAAGGUUCUACAGUACUCGGUCUUCUUUGACCCUCCAACCACCUCAAGAAAACAGUGGGAUCAACUGUUGUGCUUCUGAAGAGACCCUCAUGGCCUGCUGUGUUCUCAUGUACAGAGGUUGACUGUGUCUAGAAACAGUACAUUAAAGGCAUGGCCACUUACAGUCACUCGUUUUCCAAGAGGGCGGCCUAGGUAACUCUUAGGCCGGGGCUUUCCAACGCCUUCACUUCACCCACAACACCAGUGAACCAUCAUAAUAUUUGUGAAGAUAUUCGCUCCUAAUGCUGAGCAGAUGCACAUCAUUAAUCACUUGAAAGAGAGCCCGACAGAAGAGAAGAGAAAUGUGCUGGCGGAAGGUGCCAGGAGAGCCCGUGGGGAUGCUCAAGACUUGGCAGACCUGAACUUCAGCGAGCUUGAUGCUGUCAGGAUACCUGGUGGUUUUGGGGUGGCCCAGAACUGCCCUGUCUUCAGUUCUAUAAAGGGCGCUUCCAGCCUUCCACUGUGCUAGGAAGCCCAUCAGCUGGUGCUGCAUUUCCCGGUGCUGGCAGCUGAAAGCUUCCUGCUUGUGAAGUCACAGUGGGUCAGGAAAAUAUUGUGGAUGGAGGGGAAGAAAAGGAUUGAAAAGCUUCCUGCCGGGUAAGCAACUUCUCCUGCGCGCCCUAUCUUCCUUUCUGCAGAUGAAUCAUUACCAUCUAACACGAGGCCGCUUCUCCAGAUGAAGCAGAGAUUGAAAUGUCACACCAGCAUGAUCAAUUAGAUGAUGUAGAAUAGAGGCAUUUGCUACCUGACCUUAAUCUACUGGGCAAGAAUGAAUGAAUGGUGAAGACUGAGUGCAGAGAGACUCAAAGAAUGCAUUGGUUGUUUCUAUUUGUGGAGUUCAAUGGUGAGACAUCAAUUUAUCAUAGCUGUGGAAAACUAACUGAAGGUCCAGAGAAAAGUCAUGGAAAUGAUGACGAACAAGGAAAAUGGAAUUCAACCAUGUAUCCUGGAGAGGUAAGGUUGGGAAUAACAUUUACCCUUGUCUGCAUCUUCUCUUCCUAGCACAGAUGCUCAAAUACAUGUGUGCUGAUCUGUUUGUGUACAACCAACUGUGGUCAUGAAAGCUACUGUAGAGGAUGUUUUCUGUUGAGACUCAGGCAUGAUCAAGAUGGUCACAUAGUAGGCAGCCUAUGUUUUACAAACAUUUAUUGGAUCCACUUGAGUUUAAUGUUAGUUUCAAUAUAGGCAUCAUGCUGGUAGUGAAGCUCAUUGAAAUUUGCAGUGUGUUCCCAAAGAACCCAGUGGCAUCUUCAUUUGAGGGCAUCAUUUAGAUUGGAUAGCUAAUUAUCUGUUUAGAAUAAAAGCAGAGGAAAAAUUCUGAGAAGUUCUUAAGGACUCACACAGUUCUCGAUUUCACUUGUGUGUUUGGCUUGUAAGCAGAGCACUAAGUUCAUAACCCAGGGGUAAAAAUAACACAUCUUAAGAUGACUGGGUAGAAAGAUUCUUCUCAUUUGAAAUCUUGAUUUUUCUCUCUAUUCACAGAGUAUGUGAUAGUCCUAGUUCUGCAGUAUCACAUUUCCUAAUAAAAGCCAUUAUCACAUAUAUUUCUGAGAGUGCCCAAUAUGUAUUGUAAACUUAUUGCCCUGAGGAGAAAAUUGAUUCUGAGGAAGAGGAGAUGGAAUAAAAAUUUGGCUUUUAAAAAAAGUAACUGCAUGGAGGACAUAUUUUUCCAGAACAAAUAGUGCCAAUAGGAAUUAAAAGUUUCAAGCUGGACUGUGAUUAAAAUUUUACUGUUGGACAAACUUUCUUUUCUUUUCUGGCUUAUGAGUACUGUAGUAGGCAUACUUGGUGUUCACCUCUCAGGUACCCACCCAGGAAUUUUAGAUGACACUGAUCCUGCUUAUACCUCCAUGUAUAUAAUCUGAUGGCUCUGAUUGGCUUAGUCUAAUCUGCAUAUCUCAGUCUCACUGUACAUAAAGGGAAGAGCAUAUAACUCAGCUACGCCAAUGAGCAUAUGGAGUCCGGAAGGAAGCUUCUUUUUCUCUGAAUGGCAUGGGAAGGAGAUGUAAGGACUGACACUACCACAGCCAUUUCACUACUUGGAGGGAGAGUCAAGAUGAAGCUGUCAAGAUGAAGCUGACCAGCAACCUGUUCUUUGGUUUCCUCAUCUUUAAAAUAGGGAUGAUACAGUACCUUCCUCUACGUUUGUUGUGAAAUUAAAUUUCUUAACUUACGUAAGAUGCUCAAAAUAGGAAGCACUCAAUAAAUGAUAGUUUUUAUUGGUUACUUUAACAAAAAGCAUCUUUCCCAUUGAGGCCAAUGUAAUAAUGGGGGGGGGGGGCUGAGCCAUCUAGUUAAUUGUAUUUAAUUCCUUAAAUUAUUUUUUCCCCUCUUAAGUGAGCUCUAUACUGAAGUGAUCUCUGCACAGAAUUGGUUUUGCCAGUAAUAAAUUGUCUAUGUUGGCAUUUAAAGAAUGAAACCAUGGAGUUCUCGUCGUGGCUCAGUGGUUAAGGAAUCCAACUAGGAACCAUGGGGUUGCGGGUUUGAUCCCUGGCCUUGCUCA
This is an RNA transcript of Sus scrofa (pig), 2907 nucleotides long. It is a transcript of the gene named glutamine amidotransferase-like class 1 domain-containing protein 3, mitochondrial, with no coding region annotated. The record is from RefSeq and is a predicted model, not a curated record. NCBI's taxonomy places the organism in Eukaryota, Metazoa, Chordata, Mammalia, Artiodactyla, Suidae.